UACGUAGGUGGCGAGCGUUAUCCGGAAUGAUUGGGCGUAAAGGGUGCGCAGGCGGAAUAACAAGUCUGAAGUAAAAGGCAUUGGCUUAACCAAUGUAUGCUAUGGAAACUGUUAAGCUAGAGUGCAGGAGAGGGCAGUGGAAUUCCAUGUGUAGCGGUAAAAUGCGUAGAUAUAUGGAGGAACACCGGUGGCGAAGGCGGCUGCCUGGCCUGUAACUGACGCUGAGGCACGAAAGCGUGGGGAGCAAAUAG
Molecule: ribosomal RNA, 251 nt
Filed under: uncultured bacterium
Lineage: Bacteria
Description: partial 16S ribosomal RNA
Rfam family: Bacterial small subunit ribosomal RNA
Source: RNAcentral